UACAGAGGGUGCAAGCGUUAAUCGGAAUUACUGGGCGUAAAGCGCGCGUAGGCCGUCGAGUAAGUCGGAUGUGAAAUCCCCGGGCUUAACCUGGGAAUUGCAUUCGAUACUGCUUGGCUAGAGUGUGGAAGAGGGAAGCGGAAUUUCCGGUGUAGCGGUGAAAUGCGUAGAUAUCGGAAGGAACACCAGUGGCGAAGGCGGCUUCCUGGUCCAACACUGACGCUGAGGCGCGAAAGCGUGGGGAGCGAACAGGAUUAGAUACCCUGGUAGUCCACGCUGUAAACGAUGAGAACUAGAUGUUGGGGGGUAUAACCCCUCAGUGUCGCAGCUAACGCGUUAAGUUCUCCGCCUGGGGAGUACGGCCGCAAGGUUGAA
Molecule: ribosomal RNA, 375 nt
Filed under: uncultured bacterium
Lineage: Bacteria
Description: bacterial SSU rRNA
Rfam family: Bacterial small subunit ribosomal RNA
Source: RNAcentral